This 360-nucleotide RNase P RNA is filed under the name Rhodoferax sp. Its description in RNAcentral is "RNase P RNA component class A". It matches the Rfam family "Bacterial RNase P class A". From Rfam's summary of the family: Ribonuclease P (RNase P) is a ubiquitous endoribonuclease, found in archaea, bacteria and eukarya as well as chloroplasts and mitochondria. The record is from RNAcentral. Lineage: Bacteria; Pseudomonadati; Pseudomonadota; Betaproteobacteria; Burkholderiales; Comamonadaceae.
GAAGCCCGCCAGACUGUCGCUGGUGCAAUGGUGGAAACACCGCACUGGAGGAACGUCCGGACUGCAUAGGGCAGCGUAGCAGUUAACGGCUGUCCACUGAAAGGCAGGUUCCGCAAGGGGCCGGUUAUAAGGUGAGGAUCAGAGCAACAGAGACGAGUCGUCCGGCCGGGCAACCGGGCGGACGGGUGAAACGGGCAAUCUCUACGCGCAGCAAUACCAAGUAGGCCAGCGUUGAUGGGGCCCCCAGAGCUGGCGGGUAGGUAGCACCGAGCUGCUGGGUGACCAGCAGCCCAGAUUAAUGACAGUCACGCCCAGGGAAACCCGGGCGCACAGAAUCCGGCUUAUCGGUGGGCUUCACAC